This 497-nucleotide ribosomal RNA is filed under the name uncultured bacterium. RNAcentral describes it as "partial 16S ribosomal RNA". It matches the Rfam family "Bacterial small subunit ribosomal RNA", at positions 28 to 507 of the family's 1533-position model. The record is from RNAcentral.
GAUGAACGCUGGCGGCGUGCCUAAUACAUGCAAGUAGAGCGAAGAGAUGAGGAGCUUGCUCUUCUUAGAUUAGCUGCGGACGGGUGAGUAACACGUGGAUAACCUACCUUUAAGACUGGGAUAACUUCGGGAAACCGUAGCUAAUACCGGAUAAUAUAUGAAACCGCAUGGUUUAAUAGUGAAAGGCGGUUUUGCUGUCACUUAUAGAUGGCUCCGGGUCGCAUUACCUAUUUGGUAAGGUAAGGGCUAACCAAGGCAACGAUCCGAAGCCGACCUGGGAGGGUAUUCGGCCACCCUGGAACUGGGACACGGUCAGGACUCCUACGGGAGGCACCAUUAGGGAAUCUUCCGCAAUGGGCGAAAGCCUGCCGGGGCACCGCCGCGUGAUUGAUGAGGUUCUUCGAAUCUUAAGACUCUGUUAUUAGGGAAGAACAAAUGUGUAAGUAACUAUGCACGUCUUGACGGUACCUAAUCAGAAAGCCACGGCUAACUACGUG